Long non-coding RNA from Oncorhynchus tshawytscha (Chinook salmon), 298 nucleotides. RefSeq lists it as uncharacterized. The transcript has 2 exons. NCBI's taxonomy places the organism in Eukaryota, Metazoa, Chordata, Actinopteri, Salmoniformes, Salmonidae. The record is from RefSeq and is a predicted model, not a curated record.
GUUCCAUAAUCAAGACCUCUACAAAUACUCAGCCCUGCCACUUCCACGCUGCCAGAUGUUCUGCCCGCUUUGAAUCUGGUCCAUGUCUCCAGUCCCACGUCUCGUCAUCCUGCUACUCUGUCCUGGAUUCCUCACUCUACUACUCCCUUGGAUUCCCCUCCAGGCCUGCUUACCCUGUCUCAACCCCUCUCGCUCCAGCCUCAACCUCCGCACCUGGUUUCCAGCAACCCACCCGAACUACCCCCUGACCUGCACUCCAUCUCCUCCCUGUGUUUCAAUAAAAACCUUGGUUAUUUCA